UUGACUCGAGAUUCUUGAAAUCCCUGAUUGGGGUCCCGUCGACUGAAAAGAUGAUGUGUCUAGGAUUCCAGAGGAUGGAGUAGGUAUGGAAGUCCUUGGUGGGGUCGAACCAGAGGCGGAACUGCUGCUCACGGUUGCCCUUCCCAUGUGCGAAGAUAUUGGUAUGGAGGGUGUAGGGUUCACCUGUGGAGUUACCGAGGAACUCUAAGUCAAUUUCGUCGUGUGUGGGGCCUUG
RNAcentral lists this unclassified non-coding RNA (235 nucleotides) under Hevea brasiliensis (rubber tree). Lineage: Eukaryota; Viridiplantae; Streptophyta; Magnoliopsida; Malpighiales; Euphorbiaceae. The record is from RNAcentral.